RNAcentral lists this ribosomal RNA (487 nucleotides) under uncultured bacterium. RNAcentral's name for it is "bacterial SSU rRNA". It matches the Rfam family "Bacterial small subunit ribosomal RNA", at positions 29 to 502 of the family's 1533-position model. The record is from RNAcentral.
AUUGAACGCUGGCGGCAUGCCUAACACAUGCAAGUCGAACGGCAGCACAGAGGAGCUUGCUCCUUGGGUGGCGAGUGGCGGACGGGUGAGUAAGGCAUCGGGACCUACCCAGACGUGGGGGAUAACCUCGGGAAACCGGGACUAAUACCGCAUACGUCCUACGGGAGAAAGCGGGGGACCUUCGGGCCUCGCGCGGCUGGACGGACCGAUGUGCGAUUAGCUAGUUGGUAGGGUAAUGGCCUACCAAGGCGACGAUCGCUAGCUGGUCUGAGAGGAUGAUCAGCCACACUGGGACUGACGACACGGCCCAGACUCCUACGGGAGGCAGCAGUGGGGAAUAUUGGACAAUGGGCGCAAGCCUGAUCCAGCAAUGCCGCGUGUGUGAAGAAGGCCUGGUUGUAAGCACUUUAUCAGAGCGAAUACUGCAUGCUUAAUACGUUGUGCGAGUCGUGACGGUAACCGUGAGGAAGUAAGCAACCGGCUAACC